RNAcentral lists this ribosomal RNA (469 nucleotides) under uncultured bacterium. RNAcentral's name for it is "partial 16S ribosomal RNA". It matches the Rfam family "Bacterial small subunit ribosomal RNA", at positions 28 to 507 of the family's 1533-position model. The record is from RNAcentral.
GAUGAACGCUGGCGGCGUGCUUAACACAUGCAAGUCGAACGGUGAACACGGAGCUUGCUCUGUGGGACCAGUGGCGAACGGGUGAGUAACACGUGAGCAACCUGCCCCUGACUCUGGGAUAAGCGCUGGAAACGGCGUCUAAUACUGGAUAUGUGACGUGACCGCAUGGUCUGCGUUUGGAAAGAUUUUUCGGUUGGGGAUGGGCUCGCGGCCUAUCAGCUUGUUGGUGAGGUAAUGGCUCACCAAGGCGUCGACGGGUAGCCGGCCUGAGAGGGUGACCGGCCACACUGGGACUGAGACACGGCCCAGACUCCUACGGGAGGCAGCAGUGGGGAAUAUUGCACAAUGGGCGCAAGCCUGAUGCAGCAACGCCGCGUGAGGGAUGACGGCCUUCGGGUUGUAAACCUCUUUUAGCAGGGAAGAAGCGAAAGUGACGGUACCUGCAGAAAAAGCGCCGGCUAACUACGUG